GACGAACGCUGGCGGCGUGCUUAACACAUGCAAGUCGAACGGAAAGGCCCUGCUUUUGUGGGGUGCUCGAGUGGCGAACGGGUGAGUAACACGUGAGUAACCUGCCCUUGACUUUGGGAUAACUUCAGGAAACUGGGGCUAAUACCGGAUAGGAGCUCCUGCUGCAUGGUGGGGGUUGGAAAGUUUCGGCGGUUGGGGAUGGACUCGCGGCUUAUCAGCUUGUUGGUGGGGUAGUGGCUUACCAAGGCUUUGACGGGUAGCCGGCCUGAGAGGGUGACCGGCCACAUUGGGCCUGAGAUACGGCCCAGACUCCUACGGGAGGCAACAGUGGGGAAUAUUGCACAAUGGGCGGAAGCCUGAUGCAGCAACGCCGCGUGCGGGAUGACGGCCUUCGGGUUGUAAACCGCUUUCGCCUGUGACGAAGCGUGAGUGACGGUAAUGGGUAAAGAAGCACCGGCUAACUACGUG
This 468-nucleotide ribosomal RNA is filed under the name uncultured bacterium. Its description in RNAcentral is "partial 16S ribosomal RNA". It matches the Rfam family "Bacterial small subunit ribosomal RNA", at positions 28 to 507 of the family's 1533-position model. The record is from RNAcentral.